RNAcentral lists this ribosomal RNA (354 nucleotides) under uncultured bacterium. RNAcentral describes it as "partial 16S ribosomal RNA". It matches the Rfam family "Bacterial small subunit ribosomal RNA", at positions 338 to 709 of the family's 1533-position model. The record is from RNAcentral.
CCUACGGGAGUCAGCAGUGGGGAAUAUUGCACAAUGGGGGAAACCCUGAAGCAGCGACGCCGCGUGAGUGAUGAAGUUUCUCGGUUUGUAAACCUCUAUCAUCAGGGAAGAAAAUGACGGUACCUGACUAAUCAGCACCGGCUAACUACGUGCCAGCAGCCGCGGUAAUACGGAGGGUGCAAGCGUUAUCCGGAGUUACUGGGUGUAAAGGGCGCGUAGGCGGGGUUGCAAGUCAGUAGUGAAAGCCCAUGGCUUAACCAUGGUACUGCUUUUGAAACUGUGGAUCUAGAGUGGGGGAGAGGUAGGCGGAAUUCUUAGUGUAGGGGUAAAAUGCGUAGAGAUCAGGAGGAAUAC